CUCAAACUUCUCGAUUGACAAGCCUUAAACCAUCCGAGAGUAGCUCCUAAGUCUGGAUUUCACUGUAUAGACACUUUGUGACGGCGUCCACCCCUUUCACCGUGGCUUUCUCACCGAUUGUUGCUGCACCGUGUAGAGUAGGAGAGGGUGAACCACCGCCAUCCUGGGAUUUAGUUGCAACACCCGACUUCACACAAUUUAGACAGCAGCCUGAAGGUAUCCUGACU
Long non-coding RNA from Brachypodium distachyon (stiff brome), 227 nucleotides. RefSeq lists it as uncharacterized. The transcript has 3 exons. The record is from RefSeq and is a predicted model, not a curated record. Lineage: Eukaryota; Viridiplantae; Streptophyta; Magnoliopsida; Poales; Poaceae.